ACGGGUGAGUAACGCGUGGGUAACCUGCCUUAUACAGGGGGAUAACAGUUGGAAACGACUGCUAAUACCGCAUAAGCGCACAGUGCUGCAUGGCACCGUGUGAAAAGAUUUAUCGGUAUAAGAUGGACCCGCGUCUGAUUAGCUAGUUGGUGAGGUAAUGGCUCACCAAGGCGACGAUCAGUAGCCGGCUUGAGAGAGUGAACGGCCACAUUGGGACUGAGACACGGCCCAAACUCCUACGGGAGGCAGCAGUGGGGAAUAUUGCACAAUGGGGGAAACCCUGAUGCAGCGACGCCGCGUGAGUGAAGAAGUAUUUCGGUAUGUAAAGCUCUAUCAGCAGGGACGAAGAAAUGACGGUACCUGACUAAGAAGCCCCGGCUAACUACGUGCCAGCAGCCGCGGUAAUACGUAGGGGGCAAGCGUUAUCCGGAUUUACUGGGUGUAAAGGGAGCGUAGACGGUGAUGUAAGUCAGAUGUGAAAGCCCAGGGCUCAACCCUGGGACUGCAUUUGAAACUAUGUGACUAGAGUGCAGGAGAGGUAAGUGGAAUCCCUAGU
RNAcentral lists this ribosomal RNA (556 nucleotides) under uncultured bacterium. RNAcentral's name for it is "bacterial SSU rRNA". It matches the Rfam family "Bacterial small subunit ribosomal RNA", at positions 102 to 674 of the family's 1533-position model. The record is from RNAcentral.